This 497-nucleotide ribosomal RNA is filed under the name uncultured bacterium. Its description in RNAcentral is "partial 16S ribosomal RNA". It matches the Rfam family "Bacterial small subunit ribosomal RNA", at positions 28 to 507 of the family's 1533-position model. The record is from RNAcentral.
GACGAACGCUGGCGGCGUGCCUAAUACAUGCAAGUUGAGCGAUGAAGAUUGGUGCUUGCACCAAUUUGAAGAGCAGCGCACGGGUGAGUAACGCGUGGGGAAUCUGCCUUUGAGCGGGGGACAACAUUUGGAAACGAAUGCUAAUACCGCAUAACAACUUUAAACAUAAGUUUUAAGUUUGAAAGAUGCAAUUGCAUCACUCAAAGAUGAUCCCGCGUUGUAUUAGCUAGUUGGUGAGGUAAAGGCUCACCAAGGCGAUGAUACAUAGCCGACCUGAGAGGGUGAUCGGCCACAUUGGGACGGAGACACGGCCCAAACGCCUACGGGAGGCAGCAGUAGGGAAUCUUCGGCAAUGGACGAAAGUCUGACCGAGCAACGCCGCGGGAGUGAAGAAGGUUUUCGGAUCGUAAAACUCUGUUGGUAGAGAAGAACGUUGGUGAGAGUGGAAAGCUCAUCAAGUGACGGUAACUACCCAGAAAGGGACGGCUAACUACGUG